CAAUAGCGUAUAUUAAAGUUGUUGCAGUUAAAAAGCUCGUAGUUGGAUUUGUGGCGUACGGUGUGUUCCGGGCACUUGUUGUCUGAGUAACCUGCUGUUGCCAUCCUUGGGUGGAACCUGUGUGGCAUUAGGUUGUCGUGCAGGGGAUGCCCAUCAUUUACUGUGAAAAAUUUAGAGUGUUCAAAGCAGGCUUAUGCCGUUGAAUAUAUUAGCAUGGAAUAAUGAGAUAGGACUUUUUUGCUAUUUUGUUGGUUUGCGCAAGAAGGUAAUGAUUAAUAGGGACAGUUGGGGGUAUUCGUAUUCCAUUGUCAGAGGUGAAAUUCUUGGAUUUUUGGAAGACGAACUACUGCGAAAGCAUUUACCAAGGAUGUUUUCAUUAA
This 380-nucleotide ribosomal RNA is filed under the name uncultured eukaryote. RNAcentral's name for it is "partial 18S ribosomal RNA". It matches the Rfam family "Eukaryotic small subunit ribosomal RNA", at positions 592 to 976 of the family's 1831-position model. The record is from RNAcentral.